AUUUUUUUCUAAGUAUUUUCUUAUCCAGUAAAAAAAUCUGUUCUUAUCAGCUUAAUACCUGUUACGUUCUCCAUCACAAGACUAGAAUGUUAAACUCAUUUUUGGCUCAUGAUGGAGUCCUAAGAGCAUGCUCUAGCUCUGUCACAGGAUGCCUUAUCACUUUCGAACUCUCUUAACGCAGCCAAAUACCU
Small nuclear RNA from Schistocerca serialis cubense, 191 nucleotides. RefSeq annotates it as U2 spliceosomal RNA. Lineage: Eukaryota; Metazoa; Arthropoda; Insecta; Orthoptera; Acrididae. The transcript has a single exon. The record is from RefSeq and is a predicted model, not a curated record.